GGUUCCGUAGCUCAGCCGGAUAGAGCAGGGCUUUCCUAAAGCCAAGGUCGGGGGUUCGAGUCCCUCCGGGACCGCCA
RNAcentral lists this transfer RNA (77 nucleotides) under Hyphomicrobiales bacterium. Its description in RNAcentral is "Rhizobiales bacterium tRNA-Arg". It matches the Rfam family "tRNA". From Rfam's summary of the family: Transfer RNA (tRNA) molecules are approximately 80 nucleotides in length. Their secondary structure includes four short double-helical elements and three loops (D, anti-codon, and T loops). RNAcentral also lists the same sequence under 2 other names. The record is from RNAcentral. Lineage: Bacteria; Pseudomonadati; Pseudomonadota; Alphaproteobacteria; Hyphomicrobiales.